This 103-nucleotide microRNA precursor is filed under the name Cajanus cajan (pigeon pea). Its description in RNAcentral is "miRNA gene-KK1_045216". The record is from RNAcentral. Lineage: Eukaryota; Viridiplantae; Streptophyta; Magnoliopsida; Fabales; Fabaceae.
UUUAAAAUCGGUCAUAAGGUAGCCAAUUUUAAAAGUGACGCGGUGGAAAUUUUGUAAAUAAUGAAUUACUUUUAAAAUCGGCUACCUUAUGACCGAUUUUAAA